UACGGAGGGUGCAAGCGUUGUUCGGAAUUAUUGGGCGUAAAGAGCGUGUAGGCGGCCUUGUAAGUCAGAUGUGAAAUACCUUGGCUCAACCAAGGAAGUGCAUUUGAAACUGCUUGGCUUGAGUACGGGAGGGGGAAGCGGAAUUCCCGGUGUAGAGGUGAAAUUCGUAGAUAUCGGGAGGAACACCGGUGGCGAAGGCGGCUUCCUGGACCGAUACUGACGCUGAGACGCGAAAGCGUGGGGAGCAAACAGG
Molecule: ribosomal RNA, 253 nt
Filed under: uncultured bacterium
Lineage: Bacteria
Description: partial 16S ribosomal RNA
Rfam family: Bacterial small subunit ribosomal RNA
Source: RNAcentral